RNAcentral lists this ribosomal RNA (720 nucleotides) under Exophiala dermatitidis. Its description in RNAcentral is "eukaryotic LSU rRNA". It matches the Rfam family "Eukaryotic large subunit ribosomal RNA", at positions 95 to 831 of the family's 3401-position model. Lineage: Eukaryota; Fungi; Ascomycota; Eurotiomycetes; Chaetothyriales; Herpotrichiellaceae. The record is from RNAcentral.
GAAGCGGCAACAGCUCAAAUUUGAAAUCUGGCCUCUUUGGGGUCCGAGUUGUAAUUUGUAGAGGAUGUUUCGGGCACCGCUCCGGUUUAAAUUUCUUGGAACAGAAUGUCAAAGAGGGUGAGAACCCCGUCUUGGACCGGCAGUAGGGCCCAUGUGAAACUCCUUCGACGAGUCGAGUUGUUUGGGAAUGCAGCUCAAAAUGGGUGGUAAAUUUCAUCUAAAGCUAAAUAUUGGCCAGAGACCGAUAGCGCACAAGUAGAGUGAUCGAAAGAUGAAAAGCACUUUGAAAAGAGAGUUAAACAGUACGUGAAAUUGUUGAAAGGGAAGCGCUUGCAACCAGACUUGCGCGCGGCGGUUCCCCCUUCCUUUUGGUUGGGUUAUUCCGCCGUGUCCAGGCCAACAUCGGUUCUGGGGGUCGGUUAAAGGCCUGGGGAAUGUAUCUACCCUUCGGGCGUAGACUUAUAGCCCCGGGUGUCAUGCGACCUCCCGGGACCGAGGAACGCGCUUCGGCUCGGAUGUUGGCGUAAUGGUUGUCAGCGACCCGUCUUGAAACACGGACCAAGGAGUCUAACAUCUAUGCGAGUGUUUGGGUGUCAAACCCGGAACGCGGAAUGAAAGUGAACGGAGGUAGGAAGCUUCGGCUGCACUAUCGACCGAUCCUGAUGUCUUCGGAUGGAUUUGAGUAAGAGCAUAGCUGUUGGGACCCGAAAGAUGGUGAAC